AUUGAACGCUGGCGGCAGGCUUAACACAUGCAAGUCGAGCGGGGUGAUGGUGCUUGCACUAUCACUUAGCGGCGGACGGGUGAGUAAUGCUUAGGAAUCUGCCUAUUAGUGGGGGACAACAUCUCGAAAGGGAUGCUAAUACCGCAUACGUCCUACGGGAGAAAGCAGGGGAUCACUUGUGACCUUGCGCUAAUAGAUGAGCCUAAGUCGGAUUAGCUAGUUGGUGGGGUAAAGGCCUACCAAGGCGACGAUCUGUAGCGGGUCUGAGAGGAUGAUCCGCCACACGGGGACUGAGACACGGCCCAGACUCCUACGGGAGGCAGCAGUGGGGAAUAUUGGACAAUGGGGGGAACCCUGAUCCAGCCAUGCCGCGUGUGAAGAAGGCCUUAUGGUUGUAAAGCACUUUAAGCGAGGAGGAGGCUCUUUUGGUUAAUACCCAAGAUGAGUGGACGUUACUCGCAGAAUAAGCACCGGCUAACCCUGUGCCAGCAGCCGCCGUAA
This 501-nucleotide ribosomal RNA is filed under the name uncultured bacterium. RNAcentral describes it as "partial 16S ribosomal RNA". It matches the Rfam family "Bacterial small subunit ribosomal RNA", at positions 30 to 523 of the family's 1533-position model. The record is from RNAcentral.